AUUGAACGCUGGCGGAAUGCUUUACACAUGCAAGUCGAACGGCAGCACGGGGCAACCUGGUGGCGAGUGGCGAACGGGUGAGUAAUACAUCGGAACGUGCCCAAUCGUGGGGGAUAACGUAGCGAAAGUUACGCUAAUACCGCAUACGAUCUACGGAUGAAAGCGGGGGAUCGCAAGACCUCGCGCGAAUGGAGCGGCCGAUGUCAGAUUAGGUAGUUGGUGGGGUAAAGGCUCACCAAGCCAACGAUCUGUAGCUGGUCUGAGAGGACGACCAGCCACACUGGGACUGAGACACGGCCCAGACUCCUACGGGAGGCAGCAGUGGGGAAUUUUGGACAAUGGGCGCAAGCCUGAUCCAGCCAUGCCGCGUGCAGGAUGAAGGCCUUCGGGUUGUAACGUAGCUUUGUACGGUAACGAAAGAACUACUUUCUAAUAAAGAGGGUACCAUGACGGUACCGUAAGAAUAAGACACCGGCUAACUACGUAGCCAGCAGCCGCGGUAAACGUAC
This 509-nucleotide ribosomal RNA is filed under the name uncultured bacterium. RNAcentral's name for it is "bacterial SSU rRNA". It matches the Rfam family "Bacterial small subunit ribosomal RNA", at positions 30 to 530 of the family's 1533-position model. The record is from RNAcentral.